This is a non-coding RNA of Paramuricea clavata, 441 nucleotides long. Lineage: Eukaryota; Metazoa; Cnidaria; Anthozoa; Malacalcyonacea; Plexauridae. The record is from the annotation of a GenBank genome assembly.
GGCCGCCGUUUGCCCGCGUGUUUAAAAUUAAUUUCAAUUUUUUCAAACCGUUUCGUUUUCAAACUAAAGCAAGCUACAUAUUUGAAAGUUUCUUGGUGAUGCAGCAAGGUUAUAUAAACCGCAGUGAAGCUGCGGUCGUACAGUCUUCGUAUGAGAAAUACAAGUCAAGCAGACAAGUCCGUUUUGGUCUGUUUUGGGCCUUCAUCAAUUUGGUUUUGGGGGCAUUCGCUAUCUCAGAAAUGUAGGUUUAACUUUUGGUUUGAACCUGGUUCCUAUAGGUUAAAGGACUUUAAAAACUACUUGGCAAUAGAAGAAUCAAUAAUAAUAUCUAUUUUGUUAAGAUUUGUAUAAAUGUGCAUAUUUUGACAUUUGUUAAUAGUUUUUAUGGCACAGUAUUUCAAAGUUUGAAUGUCACCUAUCAAGCAAUUUUCUGGUACAUAG